UACGGAGGGUGCAAGCGUUAUCCGGAUUUACUGGGCUUAAAGGGUGCGUAGGUAGGUAGGUAAGUCAGUGGUGAAAUCUGCGAGCUUAACUCGGAAACUGCCAUUGAUACUAUUUAUCUUGAAUACUCUGGAGGUAAGCGGAAUAUGUCAUGUAGCGGUGAAAUGCUUAGAUAUGACAUAGAACACCAAUUGCGAAGGCAGCUUACUGCAUAGUUAUUGACACUGAGGCGCGAAAGCGUGGGGAGCAAACAGG
RNAcentral lists this ribosomal RNA (253 nucleotides) under uncultured bacterium. RNAcentral describes it as "partial 16S ribosomal RNA". It matches the Rfam family "Bacterial small subunit ribosomal RNA", at positions 524 to 776 of the family's 1533-position model. The record is from RNAcentral.